This 440-nucleotide ribosomal RNA is filed under the name uncultured bacterium. RNAcentral's name for it is "partial 16S ribosomal RNA". It matches the Rfam family "Bacterial small subunit ribosomal RNA", at positions 338 to 795 of the family's 1533-position model. The record is from RNAcentral.
CCUACGGGUGGCAGCAGUGGGGAAUAUUGCACAAUGGGGGAAACCCUGAAGCAGCGACGCCGCGUGAGUGAGGAAGUAUUUCGGUAUGUAAAGCUCUAUCAGCAGGGAAGAAAAUGACGCUACCUGACUAAUAAGCCCCGGCUAACUACGUGCCAGCAGCCGCGGUAAUACGUAGGGGGCAAGCGUUAUCCGGAUUUACUGGGUGUAAAGGGAGGGUAGACGGCUAAUCAAGUCAGAAGGGAAAACCCAGGGCCCAAGCUUGGGACUGCUUUUGAAACUGAGUAGCUAGAGUGCAGGAGAGGUAAGCGGAAUUCGUAGUGUAGCGGUGAAAUGCAUAGAUAUUAGGAGGAACACCAGUGGCGAAGGCAGCUUACUGGACUGUAACUGACGUUGAGGCACGAAAGCGUGGGGAGCAAACAGGAUUAGAUACCCUAGUAGUC